RNAcentral lists this ribosomal RNA (330 nucleotides) under uncultured bacterium. RNAcentral's name for it is "bacterial SSU rRNA". It matches the Rfam family "Bacterial small subunit ribosomal RNA", at positions 568 to 898 of the family's 1533-position model. The record is from RNAcentral.
UUCGUAGGUGGUGCGGCAAGUUGGGAGUGAAAUCUCUGGGCUUAACUCAGAGGCUGCUUUCAAAACUGCCGUGCUCGAGUGCGAGAGAGGUCAGUGGAAUUGCAGGUGUAGCGGUGAAAUGCGUAGAUAUCUGCAGGAACACCCGUGGCGAAGGCGGCUGACUGGAUCGCAACUGACACUGAGGAACGAAAGCUAGGGGAGCAAACAGGAUUAGAUACCCUGGUAGUCCUAGCCCUAAACCAUCGGAACUUGGGGUGGCCCGCGUAGGCGGGUCGUCCCGUAGCUAACGCGUUAAGUUCCGCGCCUGGGGAGUACGGUCGCAAGACUGAA